AUGGCUGUACUGGUGCUGCUCCUCUGCCUGGUGACAUUUCCAAGUUGUGCCCUGUCCCAAAUACAGCUGAAAGAGUCAGGACCUGGCCUAGUGCAGCCAUCACAGAGUCUGUCUCUCACCUGCACUGUCUCUGGAUUCUCAUUAACCAGCUAUCAUGUACACUGGGUCCGCCAGCCUCCAGGAAAGGGUCUGGAGUGGAUGGGAGCAAUAUGGAGUGGUGGAGGCACAGAUUAUAAUUCAGCUCUUCAGUCCCGAAUUACUAUCACCAGAGACACCUCCAAGAGCCAAGUUUUCUUAAAACUGAACAUUCUGAAAACUGAGGACACAGCCAUGUAUUUCUGUGCCAAGGACACAGUGAGAAAACUCCACUGUGAGCUUGGACAAAAACCUCCAAAUGGAGAUACUCACCACCAGCAGGGGGUGUUGGAGAACAACAGGGUCUCCCAAGAGCAGUAUGUGGUUGCUUAA
This is a non-coding RNA of Chionomys nivalis (European snow vole), 468 nucleotides long. The record is from the annotation of a RefSeq genome assembly. Lineage: Eukaryota; Metazoa; Chordata; Mammalia; Rodentia; Cricetidae.